CAUCGGGGCAGCUCGCGGGGCGGGGCGGGGGCCGCGGCCACCCGGCGGCGCGCCCCGAGCCGUGCAAGUUUGCAGGCCGGGGUGCGUGUGCGAGGGAGUGUGAGUGUGUGACGGGGGUAGGGGGGAGGAACAAAGAGCCAAGUAAACACGGCGAGUCCGUGUCGAGCAAAGCUCAUAAAUAUUCAAGUCGCGUCCUAAUCUCCCCAACACAUACACACACACGCGCGCGCGCGCGCACGCCGCAACACCGCCCGGGCUCCGGCCGCCGAACCGCUGCUCGCCCAGACAACAAUCGCCAAAACUACUUUUGCAAACUGUGCAGGAUUGCACCGGGGGGGUGGGGGCGGAGGGGGUGGGCGUACCCACUCACAUUCACACACACACAUACCGGGCAAGCGCACGCAGGGGGCCCUCUCCCGGGACCCUCGUCCUGCAGAUCCUGCCCGAGAAAGAGAAGACACUGGGUUCGGGUCCCACGUGCUCCCGAUCCCUCAAACUGUGCAGGACUGCACGAAACGGAGGGGGGCGGCGCAAAGAGGAAGCCCCAAAGGGAGUCCGUUCAUGUACACACUCCCCCCAUCCCUGGGGCAGCAGGCUUAAAGGAGGGGGCUUCUCCAGCUCUGCGCGCCCUGCGACGAAAAGGACGCCGGGCUCCGGACCCCGGACCCCGGACCCCCGGACCCCGAGUCCAGCAGCCCCCGACCGCCUACCUGGUGGCGCGCGAGUUCCACGGCGAGCGCCUCGGGCCGGCUCUGCAGCUCCAUCUCGGCAACUUGGGCAGCACUUUGCGCUCACUUUGGCCCCGGCUCCCGGGGAGUUGCGCGGCUCCGCGGGGUCGGGACGGACGCGGGCAGAUCGGGUCUCCCUGGAUGGUGAGGGGGAGCGCGGGGGGUGGACACGAGCCCCCUCCCCCACGGCCGAAAAGGGAGGGGGGCGUCUGGAGAGCGGAGGGGGGAGAGAAAGGCUGCCGCGCGCCCC
This 978-nucleotide long non-coding RNA is filed under the name Capra hircus (goat). RNAcentral describes it as "lncRNA (ENSCHIG00010002582.1)". Lineage: Eukaryota; Metazoa; Chordata; Mammalia; Artiodactyla; Bovidae. The record is from RNAcentral.